AACGGCCGUACCAUGCUGAAUAUACCGGUUCUCGUUAGAUCACCGAAGUUAAGCAUCAUUGGGCUCGGUCAGUACUUGGGUGGGUGACCACCUGGGAACACUGCGUGCCGUU
Molecule: ribosomal RNA, 112 nt
Filed under: Caerostris darwini
Lineage: Eukaryota; Metazoa; Arthropoda; Arachnida; Araneae; Araneidae
Source: RNAcentral